Long non-coding RNA from Thalassophryne amazonica, 289 nucleotides. RefSeq lists it as uncharacterized. Lineage: Eukaryota; Metazoa; Chordata; Actinopteri; Batrachoidiformes; Batrachoididae. The record is from RefSeq and is a predicted model, not a curated record. The transcript has 3 exons.
CAUUCUUCCCUUAACACGGAUCAGUUGUCCUGUCCCCUUUGUAGAAAAGCAGCCCCAAAGCAUGAUGUUUCCACCCCCCAUGCUUCACAGUAGAUAUGGUGUUCUUGGAAUGCAACUCAGCAUUCUUCUUCCUCCAAACACAACAAGUUGAGGUUUUACCAAAACGUUCUACAGUAUUUUGGUUUCAUCUGACCACAUGAUAUUCUCCCAAUCCUCUUCUGGAUCAUCCAUAUCCUCUCUGGCAAACUUCAGAUGGGCCUGGACAUGUACUGGCACUGCAGGAUGGAGU